AACGAACGCUGGCGGCAGGCCUAACACAUGCAAGUCGAGCGCCCUUUCGGGGGCGCGGCGGACGGGUGAGUACCGCGUGGGAAUAUGCCCUUCUCUACGGAAUAGCCUCGGGAAACUGAGAGUAAUACCGUAUACGCCCUUUGGGGGAAAGAUUUAUCGGGGAAGGAUUAGCCCGCGUUGGAUUAGGUAGUUGGUGGGGUAAUGGCCUACCAAGCCGACGAUCCAUAGCUGGUUUGAGAGGAUGAUCAGCCACACUGGGACUGAGACACGGCCCAGACUCCUACGGGAGGCAGCAGUGGGGAAUCUUAGACAAUGGGGGCAACCCUGAUCUAGCCAUGCCGCGUGAGUGAUGAAGGCCUUAGGGUUGUAAAGCUCUUUCAGCUGGGAAGAUAAUGACGGUACCAGCAGAAGAAGCCCCGGCUAACUCCGUG
This 431-nucleotide ribosomal RNA is filed under the name uncultured bacterium. RNAcentral's name for it is "partial 16S ribosomal RNA". It matches the Rfam family "Bacterial small subunit ribosomal RNA", at positions 29 to 507 of the family's 1533-position model. The record is from RNAcentral.